AAAACCAAGACUCUCCUUACCAUAAACGGCGCUGAGACAUCAAUCAACAUCCCGGGACCCAAAAGACAAAGUCUCAAGAAGAAAGGAAGGAGAUCUAGAUCUUCAAUGGAGAGAGAUCUGCAUCUGAGGCGUUGAAGGAUAGAAAAAAACCUGCCUCUGCCAUAGUUGGAACGGCCAGAAUUGAAACUGCAGACGAAGGAGACAAACAAGCAACAAAACCGGAAGAGGAAAAGAUUUAGACUUUACAGAUUUAGAUCUGAGAAUUUAGAAAAGAAACCGUUAGAAGAAAAUAGGAUUCAGAUCACAUUAAACCCACAAGAAAUCGAAACUAGAGACACUAAAACAAAGAAAUCCGGUUCCGGUGCUGAAAAAGCCACCGGAACCGGUAACCCUAGGCGGCGGCGGAGCUUUGUAGAGAGAAAAAAAAAAUUUGUUUUAAGAGAGAGAAGGAGUUGUCGUCAGUAUGUUUUCAUUUCUAUUGCAGUCAAAAAAAAUAAAAAAAAAUUCAUUUCUAUUCAUCCAUAUAAAUAAAAACCGGUGGUGUUGGUUUAGGUGAUCUAUAG
Arabidopsis thaliana (thale cress) is the source of this 563-nucleotide long non-coding RNA. RefSeq annotates it as other RNA. The record is from RefSeq. The transcript has a single exon. Lineage: Eukaryota; Viridiplantae; Streptophyta; Magnoliopsida; Brassicales; Brassicaceae.